GUCCAAAUAGCUUAGAGAACUUGAGAGAAUCCCUAUAUGUGGGGAGAGAAGAGAAAGUCCCCACUGCAUGGGGCAGCAGCACUCAGGAAUCUGAAGGUCAGAUGCAUUAGGGAGGGAGAGCUAGCAGGGGAGGAAGGGAGUCGAGAGCAGGAUCCAUGUUUACCUCUGGGAAACAAAAUCAUUGGAGAAACAAACCAGAACUUUCCAUAAAGCCUUUCUGUUUACACUUGGAAGAACCCAGAAGCAAAGGCAGUGUUCCCAGGAGUCUACAGGUGCCAUGUUGCUACGUUUGGAUUUUUCCAAGGAAGUGUCUGGAGGCAACAUUGGCCUGAUGUUCUGGCACCAGCUUGGAGAGAACUGCCCUCCGGCCCCUAUUUCACAGGAUUGGCUAUUUAUUUGUUUAUUGGUAAAUUCAUGUUAACAGAAAUAACUACGUAUCUAACAGUUCAGAGUGAUCCAGAAGUUCUUCUCAUGCUCUGUGCCAAUUUUACUUUCUCCUUGUGUCCUUCUAGACCUCCUCCUCCACCUUGAUGGUUGAAGUCGUUUCAGCAGUUCCUCAAGAGCUGCUUUAACCACGAGGAGGCAGAGUGGAACAUUCUUCUCUUUCAUGAUGUCCCAAACAAGUUGCCACAUGGUAGCCCUGGUCUGAAGGAGAUCCAGCAUAUAAGGUUGGCAUCCCACCCAUUAAACAUGGUCUUUGUCAUGAAGACAUUUUCUGGUUGAGACCUCUUGACAUGUUGGUGUUCCCUUUGGUGACCAGAGACAGUCAAGUCUCCUGAGAUUCGUUUCAUGCUAUUGAGGGGUGACCAUAUCUUGAAGCACUGUGGUUGACAGUUGUGUCACAAAGUUAUCAGUCUUCUGUAAUCUCUGCCUGUAUCAUGACAGAAGGAGGAUGUUGUCCUCUUAUCACAGGUCAGUGUGGUAAUCAUAGCUGAACCAUUUAAUGGUAGCAGAAUUCUGUAGGCUUUGGUUGAUAGCAGGUCACUCAGUGCAGGGAGAAUACUCCUUCCCAGCUCUGGUUCUGGGAUUCCAGGACACUGCCAAUGGAACAAGACUCAGUGUCCAAAACCAUGCAAAAGGGGAAGUGUGGAUCCAUUAAAAAGAAACUGGAAGAAAAGAAACUGGAUUCGUCUUGAGUUGUAACCCCAAGGUGGCUGUAAUUUUUCCUGCACGGUUUCCCAGCAAACUAUAAAUAAAUCAAACCAUCAGAAUGGCAUAUGGAGCUUUACAACUGGACCCUGGCACCAGGAAUGUGCCUGGCUGACAUUUUCUUAAGAUAAAAAGGUACAAAUUGGCUAAGAUAAAGUCAUUUUUCCAUAUAUGUGUAUAUUCUUUUCUUAGCCAAAUUGCAGGGAUCCACUUGAACUUCACCCCUGCCACCCAGCCCGGAGCUUCUCAGUAAGUCCCCUAAUAAGUUGCCCUCUGUGCCAUCCUGGAUCUGUCUGCCUCUUCAGUCUCAUGGCACCUGGGGCCAGUUCUCCUUCCGUGGGACCAGGUUGUUCCAGAACACUCCCUUAGGACAAGGAAAGUGUGACAUACAAGGAAGGAGAAAUCACUGGAGGCUGGAGUGGGCUGGGGUGUUCAAGAGAAGAUGUCAAGAAAAUGCAGGUAUGUGAGCUAAGCCUGGUAUGCCGUGGUGGGGAGAGAAAUUCAUUGGAGCAUUGCAGAAGCACUGAUAUCCAGGGAGGUGCAUUAGGAAACAAAAAUGUUUUCAUGAAUCAUGUGAUGCUGGCUGCUGGACUGAAUUCUUAUGUAUGUGCCAAAUUUUCAUGUUGAAACUUGACCCCCAAUGUAGCGAUAAUAGGAGGCAGCACCUUUGGAAGGUGACUGGAUCAUGAAGGUAGAAUCCUCAUGAAUGGGAUCAGUGUCCGUAUAAAAAUGACCUCCCAGAACUUUCUUGCCCCCUCCCUGCCAUGUGAGGGUACAAUGACAAGGCAGCACCUGCAGGUCUGGAAGAUGGACCUCACCAGAAUGCAACCAAGCUGGCACCCUGAUCUUGGACUUGUAGUCUCCACAACUGUGAGAAAUAAAUUUGUUGUUUGUAAGCCACCCAGACUUGGGUACUUUGUGAUAGCAUCACUCUGCUUUUAUCUCUCAUCUCUUACUUUUCCUCUUUCCCGUGUGUUUUGCCUCUUGCUUCUCCUUUGCACAUCUUAAGUCAUUCAGCAGUGACCAGAGGCCCAGCUAUCA
RNAcentral lists this long non-coding RNA (2190 nucleotides) under Marmota monax (woodchuck). The record is from RNAcentral. Lineage: Eukaryota; Metazoa; Chordata; Mammalia; Rodentia; Sciuridae.